CUCACUCAGGGCUGAGUCUCUGGGGAAGGCAGAGCUGUGCUCAAGAAGAAGAUGAUUCUGUGGGGUCUCCUCCUCUGCCUGGUGACAGCCCCCCUUGGUGUUCUGUCUGAGAUUCAGCUGCAGGAGUCGGGCCCAGGACUGGUGGCCCCCUCCCAGACCCUCUCCCUCACCUGCUCUGUCUCUGGAUUCUCCAUCACAACCAGUCCUUACUGCUGGGCAUGGAUCCGCCAGCCCCCAGGGAAGGGCCUGCUCUAUUUGGGGCUCAUAUGUUAUAAUGCAGACACCAACUACAGCCCGACCUUCAAGAGCCGCAUCUCCAUCACCAGAGACACGAACAAGAACCAGUUCUCCCUGCAGCUGAGCUCAGUGACCCCCGAGGACACAGCUGUGUAUUACUGUGCGAGAGACACAGUGAGGGGAAGUCAGGGACUCCCCCAUGCGGCCCUUUCUCUGUAA
Sorex araneus (European shrew) is the source of this 456-nucleotide non-coding RNA. Lineage: Eukaryota; Metazoa; Chordata; Mammalia; Eulipotyphla; Soricidae. The record is from the annotation of a RefSeq genome assembly.